UGCAGAGUUUCCGAAUGUCAUACCCAAAACUUUCGAUAUUCACAAGUAAUUUGCAGCUAAAUUAAUUUGCGAAAAUCUCUUCAUGCGCAUUUGAAUACCCAAUCGAGUGGAACAGAUGUGCAGAGGUGCAAAACUAAACAAACAAAUAGGUCUCAAUUGACGCAGUCGAAUGUGGCGGAAGUUAAUUGUACAAUGUAAAUGGAAUUAAGGAUAACUGGUGAUUUUGAUAUCAGAAUCUUCAAGUGAACGGAAUUUGUAAUAGUUCAAGUAAAAGUUCAUGAAAGCCGUAAUUUUUCUAAUUCCAUAUAUAUGUGUGAUAGUGUUUAUCUUUUUAAAUAUGCGAAACUUAACAACCACAAAAAAUCUUGGCGAACCAUCAACGCAGCGCCAAACGCCACUUGCGUGUUACAAUAAAUCAAAUUAUUCAAUGGCACACCAUAAACUAUAUUCAGUAGUUAAGCACUGUUUGAGCAUUUCACCGUCUCCAAGCUGUCCCUUCACAUGGCUCUACAAAUAUUAUGCAAUAUCUUCAUAAUUAAUUCAUUUGCGUGCGGCGACGAACAAUAAUUUUAACUUACGUUCUGGAAGAGAAGAACACAAUUCAAUGUAUGAAGGAAGUAAAAGAAAGAAAGCAUGUAAAUAUGUAAAUGAUGGACACGCGUGUGGGAAGAACAUGCGGAAGCAGACAUGUUGUAGACACUCAUUGAGCGCAUUCUCUCAUAAAUACUUAUGUAUGUAAAUUUAGAUCUGCGUGAAUAACAUUCAAAUUCAAAUCGUAAACCGGGAGUUUUAUACGGGGCGCUGCGUACUGUCAAAAACAAAUGGUUUAGCCACUUCUUCUUACAUUCGCGCAAUUCACAAUGGCAGAAUGAAACUUAUUGGAAGAGAGAAGUACUGAGAACAGUUGGAAAUGUGUACUAAAAAACUCAUUUGACUUCAAAAAUAUAAUAUCUAAUAUAACAA
Molecule: long non-coding RNA, 963 nt
Organism: Bactrocera latifrons
Lineage: Eukaryota; Metazoa; Arthropoda; Insecta; Diptera; Tephritidae
Exons: 8
Source: RefSeq, a predicted model, not a curated record